Long non-coding RNA from Brassica napus (rape), 1997 nucleotides. RefSeq lists it as uncharacterized. Lineage: Eukaryota; Viridiplantae; Streptophyta; Magnoliopsida; Brassicales; Brassicaceae. The record is from RefSeq and is a predicted model, not a curated record. The transcript is spliced from 2 exons.
UUCAUUCCCUACGCACUACAAAUUAACAUGCAAUGCAAUUACGACUACGACUCUAAUCGAACACAAAAAAAAAAAAUUAUCAAGCAUUUCUAAUCUCUAUUUCAGCACCAUAUACGUUUCGGAAAAUCCCAACUCCAUCGUAACCAAAUAGGCCCAACCUGAUCCCAUAAACAGUAGGCCCACUGGCCCACAAAAUAAUUGAUCAACAUGAGUUUCCAAAUUCUAGCGAGCGUAGAACAUCAAUACAAUACUAAAAGGAAAAUAAGGGCCUCAUUUAGGCUAUCCACGUUAUCAUAAAAAUUCAUCCAAUCAGGUUUUAAAGUUUUACUAAGUAAUCAAAGGAUUUCUUAUGUUAGGCUUAAAUUUUUUAUGAGAUAGAAUGUUAAGGUAAAUGGCCCAGGAAGUCCAUUUAAUCGAAAGCAUCGUGACCUAAAGCAUUUCAACAUAUGCAUUUCAUAAAGACAUGGGCCCCAUAGUUCUCGGUUUGGUUUGGUGAUUGCGUUCUGGCGUUUCGUUUUUAAGUUACGCGUCGGUUCAAUUAAUAUUUGGUUAAGUCAUCAAACACAGCGUUUUGUGUUUAAGUAGAUUAGGGUCUCUCUUAUUGUUCUCAGACUCUUGACCUUUGUCGUAUGCGUUCAAUUUCUCUGCAAACACGAAACUUUUCUUCUACAAACUCUUAAUCUUCCCUUAUCGUUCAACGUAUUCUCUUGAUUUACCAAUUAAUGUUUUCGUAUCGACCACUCCGUUUCCUUCAAGUCAAACCUAUAAAAUGGAGAGGGUGGAGGGUUGGCUGAAUCUUCACAAGACUUGGUAAAUUAAAUUACGAGGUUUCCGCUAUAUUUUAGGACUGAUGGCGUUUCACUCGAUAAAGUCUCUUCACAAAUUAACUCGAAUCACUUCUGCAGCCGAUUCUUCUGUUAGCAGCCAUGGUAACUUUCUUAAGCUUCUCACUUCAUCUCUGUCGCACGAAUUGUACUUCUGAUUUCUAAUUCUGCUUUAAUAAUUUCGCAGGUGAAGAACCUGAUAACCAAACCAAGUAUAAAGCUCCGUCUCAGUACCGUUUUCACUCUUUUAUAUUUGAUUUGUUGAUUAUUUUUUCAUAUCAGGAGUAUAUUUGAUUGGUACCUGACAUAAGACCGGGGGUUGAUAUACAAGUUAUAAGUUUAAGAACAAUUUUCUGAAAGAUAAAUUUAGAAACUGUUUGUGCUUCUGUUCUUUAGCUCAUGUUCAUAGUGUUCUCCUCUUCUUAACUCAUGUUCAUAUUGUUCUCCUGAUGUUUAAAUUCAUGUUCAUAUUGUUCUGAAACUCAACAGUCAACAUUAUCAAGCUGUUAUAUUCGGAUCUUUAUUGAAAUCUUUUGAAUGAUUAAUGUAGACUUAAAAUAAAUGUGCAAAAAAAUGUUUUUUUUGAACAAGUAUAUAGUAAUAAAAGCGAUGUAUGGAGCUUGGGUUUAGUAAUGCUUGAAUUGCGCUGCAAGAAUCAUAUCCACCUCAGCUGAAGAGGAAACAUGGAGCAGUCUUCUCGAGUUCAUGGAAGCUAUUGAUGACCAACCACCGCCCACUCUUCUUCCUUCAGAAAGUUUCUCCUUUUGCAAAAGGACCCAGUCGAAGCUCUGCAAAGGAUCUAAUGGUUUGUUGAAAUCACCAUCCUUGAAAAUCAUCUCAGGAACAUCCUUUCUUGAAGAAGUACGACGACAACUCUGGGACAAAUCUGGCAUCAUACUUCAUAGAUGCAUGGUCUCUGUUUGCAACGCUUAAGAAUCUGUCUGGUUAGUUCUCCGUUUAGGCUCCAGGAAGAUAUCAUAUUAUCAUCAUCAUCUGGUUGUUACUAUUAUUAUCUGAGGUUUCUUUGUUUUAAACCACCAGUAAAAAUAAUAUCUUGAUCAUAUAGAUUUGUGCUAAUGUUGUAUUUAAAGAUUAUAGGAUAUAUGAGAAUCAUGGGACUGAUUAGUGAGUUAUAUUUUUUUGACUAUUUCAAGAUUCAGCAUCUUUAGUGUU